GUCCUCAGUUAGGCAGCACAUACCCUAAUGUUGGAAAGAUACAGAGAAGAUUAGCAUGGCCCCUGGGCAAGGAUGGUAGGAUAGAAGUGUUGAUACUAUCUUU
Suricata suricatta (meerkat) is the source of this 103-nucleotide small nuclear RNA. NCBI's taxonomy places the organism in Eukaryota, Metazoa, Chordata, Mammalia, Carnivora, Herpestidae. The record is from Ensembl.